Chinchilla lanigera (long-tailed chinchilla) is the source of this 275-nucleotide long non-coding RNA. RefSeq lists it as uncharacterized. The transcript has 3 exons. The record is from RefSeq and is a predicted model, not a curated record. NCBI's taxonomy places the organism in Eukaryota, Metazoa, Chordata, Mammalia, Rodentia, Chinchillidae.
AAAGGAAAAAAUGAUAUAUGUUUUUCAUGGGAGCUACUUGGAGUAUUGUGAAAAGUAAGCUUUUCAAAGAUAUCUGCUCAAACAUUGUGCUGCAGCAUUUCAGAAUUGAAGAUUAUAUAUAGGAAAUCAUAGUCCACAGACAAGGUUAAAGAAAGACGACACAGAGCACAUUGCAGAAGUCAUUGACCGAAGUAUCACUUAGAUGUGACACCACUGUUUCUUUUACCAAAAGGUAACUAUACUGGGUAUGGGAGAGAAGAGAAAAGUGCAAGACA